UAUCCGUAGGUGAACCUGCGGAAGGAUCAUUACCGAGUUAGGGUCUCUCAGAACCGACCUCCCACCCUGUGUUUUUGUGACCUUUUUGCUUGUGCGGGCCCGCCUCCAUGAGAGGCCGCCGGAAGCUCACCGCGUUGGGCCCGUGGCCGUCAGUAUCCCCCUUAAAUUCUUAAUAAACCUUUCUUUUGAGUUAAUGGAUAUAAUUAAAAAAAACUUUCAACAAAGGGUCUCUUGGUUUUGGGAUCGAUGCAGAACGCAGCAGAACGGACUAGCACACAU
This 279-nucleotide unclassified non-coding RNA is filed under the name plant metagenome. RNAcentral describes it as "partial contains small subunit ribosomal RNA, internal transcribed spacer 1, and 5.8S ribosomal RNA". The record is from RNAcentral.